CCUACGGGGGGCAGCAGUGGGGAAUAUUGCACAAUGGGGGAAACCCUGAUGCAGCGACGCCGCGUGAGUGAAGAAGUAAUUCGUUACGUAAAGCUCUAUCAGCAGGGAAGAAACACUGACCUUACGGUCAGCAGACGGUACCUGAGUAAGAAGCCCCGGCUAACUACGUGCCAGCAGCCGCGGUAAUACGUAGGGGGCAAGCGUUAUCCGGAUUUACUGGGUGUAAAGGGAGCGUAGACGGUGCGCCAAGUCUGGAGUGAAAUGCCGCAGCUUAACUGCGGAACUGCUUUGGAAACUGGCGAACUAGAGUGCGGGAGGGGUAAGCGGAAUUCCUAGGGUAGCGGUGAAAUGCGUAGAUAUUAGGAGGAACACCGGUGGCGAAGGCGGCUUACUGGACCGUAACUGACGUUGAGGCUCGAAAGCGUGGGUAGCAAACAGGAUUAGAUACCCGAGUAGUC
This 458-nucleotide ribosomal RNA is filed under the name uncultured bacterium. Its description in RNAcentral is "partial 16S ribosomal RNA". It matches the Rfam family "Bacterial small subunit ribosomal RNA", at positions 338 to 795 of the family's 1533-position model. The record is from RNAcentral.